AGGAGAUGAGGGCGUGGGGGAGGAAGGAGAAGAGGGCAUGGAAUUCACGGGGGAGGAAGAAGAGGAGGCCAUGGAGGUCGUGGGAGAGAGGGCAGGAGGCCACGGGGGAGGAAGAAGAUGCCCCCUCGUUUCUGAAGUUGGUCUUCACCUCAAAUGCGAUGGCUGCUCCCAGUUGUGGUUGGACAUUCCUGUUCAUUGGUUGCUACUCAUAUGAGAUUUUUUUUUUCAUUUUCCCUACAGAUUGGUCCAAUUUGAGCGGAUUCUCUUCCUCUUGGUCGGUCCCCUGGAUGUGCCUCCCUUGAUCUCUGCCUGCACAUCCUUUAUAAGCACCCUCCUGCGUCUCCGUUCAUGGAUCGACUGAAGAGAAUUUUCUUCUUUGCCAAAGAUUAGCUAUUGUCGGAUAAUUUGCAUGUCAUGGUGGACAUCAGUUGUAAAUUGCAAAGGAGAGCUACUAAUCUUAUUAUAGGUGCAUGGGCACUUGCCGCUGCAGCCAGAGUUGCCACCAAAUCAGAUUAGAAGUUUUUCAAACAGAUUCCUAUAUUUUGAAGUGGUUAUGCUCAUCACAUAGCUGGGCUAGAUCAUGUCUUACUAUAUAAUGUACUUCAUCGUGUCUCAAGCUUCUGUGCUU
This is a non-coding RNA of Triticum urartu, 628 nucleotides long. NCBI's taxonomy places the organism in Eukaryota, Viridiplantae, Streptophyta, Magnoliopsida, Poales, Poaceae. The record is from RefSeq and is a predicted model, not a curated record.